This 464-nucleotide ribosomal RNA is filed under the name uncultured bacterium. RNAcentral's name for it is "bacterial SSU rRNA". It matches the Rfam family "Bacterial small subunit ribosomal RNA", at positions 28 to 507 of the family's 1533-position model. The record is from RNAcentral.
GACGAACGCUGGCGGCGUGCCUAACACAUGCAAGUCGAACGGAGUUAAGACUUCGGUUUUAACUUAGUGGCGAACGGGUGAGUAACGCGUGAGGAACCUGCCUUUCAGUGGGGGACAACAGUUGGAAACGACUGCUAAUACCGCAUAAUGUUUCGAGAGGGCAUCCUCUUGAAACCAAAGCUUUAUGUGCUGAAAGAUGGUCUCGCGUCUGAUUAGCUAGAUGGCGGGGUAACGGCCCACCAUGGCGACGAUCAGUAGCCGGUCUGAGAGGAUGAACGGCCACAUUGGAACUGAGAUACGGUCCAGACUCCUACGGGAGGCAGCAGUGGGGAAUAUUGGGCAAUGGGCGAAAGCCUGACCCAGCAACGCCGCGUGAGGGAAGAAAGGGUUUCGGCUCGUAAACCUCUGUCCUAUGGGACGAAGAAGUGACGGUACCAUAGGAGGAAGCCCCGGCUAACUACGUG